GAUGAACGCUAGCGGCAGGCUUAACACAUGCAAGUCGAGGGGCAGCACGUCUUCGGAUGGUGGCGACCGGCGCACGGGUGCGUAACGCGUAUAGAACCUACCUUUUACAGGGGAAUAGCCCAGAGAAAUUUGGAUUAAUGCCCCAUAGUAUUAUUGAAUGGCAUCAUUUAAUAAUUAAACAUUUAUGGGUAAAAGAUGGCUAUGCGUUCUAUUAGCUAGUAGGUAAGGUAACGGCUUACCUAGGCAACGAUAGAUAGGGGUCCUGAGAGGGAGAUCCCCCACACUGGUACUGAGACACGGACCAGACUCCUACGGGAGGCAGCAGUGAGGAAUAUUGGACAAUGGGCGAGAGCCUGAUCCAGCCAUGCCGCGUGCAGGAAGACGGUCCUAUGGAUUGUAAACUGCUUUUUAUACAGGAAGAAACACUCGGACGUGUCCGAGCUUGACGGUACUGUAUGAAUAAGCACCGGCUAACUCCGUGCCAGCAGCCGCGGUAA
This 497-nucleotide ribosomal RNA is filed under the name uncultured bacterium. Its description in RNAcentral is "bacterial SSU rRNA". It matches the Rfam family "Bacterial small subunit ribosomal RNA", at positions 28 to 523 of the family's 1533-position model. The record is from RNAcentral.